AGGUGUAGAGCAUUUGACUGCAUAAGAGGCUCACCUUACCAGGUUUUAUUUCUUAGAGAAGUUUUAGCUAAGGAGAUAUUUAAGCCAGAAACUAAAAGGCAAGGAAAAAAAGAGACAGAAAGGAGAGAUGCAAAAGCAUUUGGGCUGUGGAAAUGCCUAACUGCUGUGAAUGCUUAGUCAUUCAGUGUGGCCGGAGGUCAAGGUUGAGUGCAAGGCAGAGAGCAGGAAAUAAAACUCAUGAGAAAAGUCACAUGCUACUGAAAACUGGUUGAUUUGGGGAGAAGGGUUGCUGGAUGAAGAGAGCUCCUGGAUUGAGGUCAUGUCCAUGAAGAGAGAGGCAGAUUCCAUCUGGGUUCAAUAGAAAUUAAGGAUGCUGAAAAAUGCAAGACAGACCUAGAAAGAGCUGAGGAUAUGGAAAAUAAAUCUGGAUGAGCAAACUGAUGUCAAGGUCAUACAACUACUGAAUGGCGGAAUCCAGAUUUCAUUCCCGGCAAACAGAGUCCAGAGCCCUAAAACUUCAACCAUUAUAUACACUGUGAAGAUAUUUCAUUAAAUACAGAUGGAAUUAAAUCAUCUGACAUUAGAGACAAAGGAAAUUCUGAGAUUAUUGA
Molecule: long non-coding RNA, 611 nt
Organism: Bos taurus (domestic cattle)
Lineage: Eukaryota; Metazoa; Chordata; Mammalia; Artiodactyla; Bovidae
Source: Ensembl